RNAcentral lists this non-coding RNA (21 nucleotides) under Caenorhabditis elegans. Lineage: Eukaryota; Metazoa; Nematoda; Chromadorea; Rhabditida; Rhabditidae. The record is from RNAcentral.
UGAACCAGGUAAAUUUCCAGU